CUGGCACUAAAGGGUAAAGGGACAAUAUAUAUUGUCCCUAUCCUAUAUAGGGACAAGCACUGGAUGUCUUCUUCAUCAGUGAUACAUUCUGAAGGAAACAGAAAAGCAUUCUUUGCACAUUGAUACUGCUUAGAAGCAUUGGAAAGAGUUAAACCCUCCUGAGGCUGUGGACCCCACAGAGUAUCCCAGAGUGUACUUCCAUGAGAACCAUCAUAAUUUGUGUCUGUCAAGCUGGGCAACACACAGAAUGGAAGGUAGGAAAGUCCAAUUUGUAGAGAUCAUCAGAUAACACAGGAGGAUGCCAAUUUCAGUGGACUAAGUUAGAUUGGUCAAAACAGGUUCUGAGCACGAAAGCACAAAAGUGAUUUGAUUAAGUCUGUGUGUAUGGAGACCAUCAGAGAUAUGCUGGCAAAGACAGAUAACAUUUCAGCUUGAAAUAGAUCAGUGGAUUAAAGAGCUGACAAAAUUAAACUCUGCUCCAACUCACCUAUGUCCCAGGCAUAAUUUAAGAAUCAGAAGAAGGCAUUUCUGAAAACAUCUAAGCUAACCUUGUGCAAAAUGGAUAGAGGGCACCUCAUAUAUCACUUCUGCAUGUAAGGGAUCAGAAGGACUGCUCUGCAACAAGACAGCAGGAUUUUCCCAUAAAGUAAGAAAAAUAUUACCCUUGACUUAAAGAGGACUUGCCUAACCCUACCCAGCUACGAAAUCUCAAAGUGUGGAGAGAAGAAGAGUUUAAAAUUGACACAGGAAGUUCAGCAUCAACAAAUCACAAAUGCUGUUGAAGAAACUCCAAAAAUGCUGUAAAGCUUAAGAAAAACUGCAGUGGCAUAUACCUUAGCACAUUUCCUCCCACAAGGAGUGAGAA
This 865-nucleotide long non-coding RNA is filed under the name Parus major (Great Tit). RNAcentral describes it as "lncRNA (ENSPMJG00000014151.1)". Lineage: Eukaryota; Metazoa; Chordata; Aves; Passeriformes; Paridae. The record is from RNAcentral.